This 305-nucleotide ribosomal RNA is filed under the name uncultured bacterium. Its description in RNAcentral is "bacterial SSU rRNA". It matches the Rfam family "Bacterial small subunit ribosomal RNA", at positions 335 to 658 of the family's 1533-position model. The record is from RNAcentral.
GCCCUACGGGGGGCAGCAGUGGGGAAUAUUGCACAAUGGGGGAAACCCUGAUGCAGCGACGCCGCGUGAAGGAAGAAGUAUUUCGGUAUGUAAACUUCUAUCAGCAGGGAAGAAAAUGACGGUACCUGACUAAGAAGCCCCGGCUAACUACGUGCCAGCAGCCGCGGUAAUACGUAGGGGGCAAGCGUUAUCCGGAUUUACUGGGUGUAAAGGGAGCGUAGGCGGCAGGGCAAGCCUGAUGUGAAAGCCCGGGGCUCAACCCCGGGACUGCAUUGGGAACUGCCCCGCUCGAGUGCCGGAGGGGC